RNAcentral lists this ribosomal RNA (133 nucleotides) under uncultured bacterium. Its description in RNAcentral is "partial 16S ribosomal RNA". The record is from RNAcentral.
CGAAGUUAGCCGGGGCGUUCUUCUGAAGCUACCGUCAUUAUCUUCACUUCUGAAAGAGCUUUACAACCCUAAGGCCUUCUUCACUCACGCGGCAUGGCUGGAUCAGGCUUUCGCCCAUUGUCCAAUAUUCCCC